CCUACGGGGAGCAGCAGUGAGGAAUAUUGGUCAAUGGGCGAGAGCCUGAACCAGCCAAGUCGCGUGAGGGAGUACUGCCCUAUGGGUUGUAAACCUCUUUUGUCGGGGAGCAAAAGCCGGACGUGUCCGGCUGUGAGAGUACCCGAAGAAAAAGCAUCGGCUAACUCCGUGCCAGCAGCCGCGGUAAUACGGAGGAUGCGAGCGUUAUCCGGAUUUAUUGGGUUUAAAGGGUGCGCAGGCGGAUUAUUAAGUCAGCGGUAAAAUCGUGGGGCUCAACCCCAUCCAGCCGUUGAAACUGGGGAUCUAGAGUGUGCGAGAGGUAUGCGGAAUGCGUGGUGUAGCGGUGAAAUGCAUAGAUAUCACGCAGAACCCCGAUUGCGAAGGCAGCAUACCGGUGCACAACUGACGCUCAGGCACGAAAGCGUGGGUAUCGAACAGGAUUAGAUACCCCAGUAGUC
RNAcentral lists this ribosomal RNA (458 nucleotides) under uncultured bacterium. Its description in RNAcentral is "partial 16S ribosomal RNA". It matches the Rfam family "Bacterial small subunit ribosomal RNA", at positions 338 to 795 of the family's 1533-position model. The record is from RNAcentral.